Coregonus clupeaformis (lake whitefish) is the source of this 679-nucleotide long non-coding RNA. RefSeq lists it as uncharacterized. The transcript has 2 exons. NCBI's taxonomy places the organism in Eukaryota, Metazoa, Chordata, Actinopteri, Salmoniformes, Salmonidae. The record is from RefSeq and is a predicted model, not a curated record.
UCGGCAAAUCACAUCAUGACUCCCGUACUCCUACUUCUUGUUUACAAGCAGGAACUAAUUUAGGAAGUACGUGUGACUCUCUCCGUUGAAAAAUGUUAAUCAGAAUCAGAGAUUAUGCUACAGGACUGCUUUGCUAGCGUUGAUUGGAAUAUGUUUCGAGACUCCGCCGAUAACAUUGACGAGCUAACCACCUCCUUCACCGGCUUCAUUAGAAAAUGUAUCAACGACAUUGUCCCAACAGUGAGGGUUUGCUGCUUCCCCAAUCAAAAGCCCUGGAUUAACACCAAGGUUGGCGCUAAACUAAAGGACAGGGCUAUCGCACGCAGAGCUAUCGUAGACAACCCUGAGGCUACGGUUGAGGACAGGAAUAACAUCUGGAUGUCUUGCCCACAUGUUGUCACAAACACAGCAUAGGAUCCUGGCUGAGCGUUGGGUCGGAGGUGAGCAUAUGCCAGUGUUUCAUCACUAUGUUUUUAAUCAUUAAAGCUUUGGGGGUGAACGUAGUAAUGCAAGUAACAGAGAACUCCUUCGAAAUUGUAACACUUUUUUUGAGUAUAUCCUGUCAAGGUUUAGAGAGCGCAAUUUGGUAUGCCUCUUCCACACACAGGGUGGAGUAACCCCUGUCCAGAAAACAUUGUUUCAUGUUGACAGCUUUAUCAAUAAAGUCCUAUAGAACUGG